UACGUAGGUGGCAAGCGUUGUCCGGAAUUAUUGGGCGUAAAGCGCGCGCAGGCAGUCCUUUAAGUCUGAUGUGAAAGCCCACGGCUCAACCGUGGAGGGUCAUUGGAAACUGGGGGACUUGAGUACAGAAGAGAAGAGUGGAAUUCCACGUGUAGCGGUGAAAUGCGUAGAGAUGUGGAGGAACACCAGUGGCGAAGGCGACUCUUUGGUCUGUAACUGACGCUGAGGCGCGAAAGCGUGGGGAGCAAACAGG
This 253-nucleotide ribosomal RNA is filed under the name uncultured bacterium. RNAcentral's name for it is "partial 16S ribosomal RNA". It matches the Rfam family "Bacterial small subunit ribosomal RNA", at positions 524 to 776 of the family's 1533-position model. The record is from RNAcentral.